RNAcentral lists this ribosomal RNA (440 nucleotides) under uncultured bacterium. RNAcentral describes it as "partial 16S ribosomal RNA". It matches the Rfam family "Bacterial small subunit ribosomal RNA", at positions 338 to 795 of the family's 1533-position model. The record is from RNAcentral.
CCUACGGGUGGCAGCAGUGGGGGAUAUUGCACAAUGGGGGAAACCCUGAUGCAGCGACGCCGCGUGGGUGAAGAAGCGCCUCGGCGCGUAAAGCCCUGUCAGCAGGGAAGAAAAUGACGGUACCUGAAGAAGAAGCUCUGGCUAACUACGUGCCAGCAGCCGCGGUAAUACGGAGGGGGCAAGCGUUAUCCGGAUUUACUGGGUGUAAAGGGGGCGCAGACGGAGAUGCAAGCCAGGAGUGAAAGCCCGGGGCCCAACCCCGAGACUGCACUUGGAACUGGGUGGCUUGAGUGCAGGAGGGGCAGGCGGAAUUCGUGGUGUAGCGGUGAAAUGCGUAGAUAUCAGGAGGAACACCGAUGGCGAAGGCGGCCUGCUGGACUGCAACUGACGCUGAGGCCCGAAAGCGUGGGGAGCAAACAGGAUUAGAUACCCUUGUAGUC